GUUGUAUGGUUAAGUGACUAAGCGUACACGGUGGAUGCCUGGGCAGUCAGAGGCGAUGAAGGACGUACUAACUUGCGAUAAGCGCAGAUAAGGCAGUAAGAGCCGUUUGAGUCUGCGAUUUCCGAAUGGGGAAACCCAACUGCAUAAGCAGUUACUGUUAACUGAAUACAUAGGUUAACAGAGCAAACCGGGGGAACUGAAACAUCUAAGUACCCCGAGGAGAAGAAAUCAACCGAGAUUCCGGUAGUAGCGGCGAGCGAACCUGGAUUAGCCCUUAAGCACUCGGUGAAGUAGGUGAACAAGCUGGAAAGCUUGGCGAUACAGGGUGAUAGCCCCGUAACCGACGCUUCAUCGAGCGUGAAAUCGAGUAGGGCGGGACACGUGAUAUCCUGUCUGAAUAUGGGGGGACCAUCCUCCAAGGCUAAAUACUCCUGACUGACCGAUAGUGAACCAGUACCGUGAGGGAAAGGCGAAAAGAACCCCUGUGAGGGGAGUGAAAUAGAACCUGAAACCGUGUACGUACAAGCAGUAGGAGCACCUUCGUGGUGUGACUGCGUACCUUUUGUAUAAUGGGUCAGCGACUUAUAUUCAGUGGCAAGGUUAACCGUAUAGGGGAGCCGUAGCGAAAGCGAGUCUUAACUGGGCGCUCAGUCUCUGGAUAUAGACCCGAAACCGGGUGAUCUAGCCAUGGGCAGGUUGAAGGUUGAGUAACAUCAACUGGAGGACCGAACCGACUAAUGUUGAAAAAUUAGCGGAUGACUUGUGGCUAGGGGUGAAAGGCCAAUCAAACUCGGAGAUAGCUGGUUCUCCCCGAAAGCUAUUUAGGUAGCGCCUCGGACGAAUACUACUGGGGGUAGAGCACUGUUAAGGCUAGGGGGUCAUCCCGACUUACCAACCCUUUGCAAACUCCGAAUACCAGUAAGUACUAUCCGGGAGACACACGGCGGGUGCUAACGUCCGUCGUGGAGAGGGAAACAACCCAGACCGCCAGCUAAGGUCCCAAAGUAUUGCUAAGUGGGAAACGAUGUGGGAAGGCUCAGACAGCUAGGAUGUUGGCUUAGAAGCAGCCAUCAUUUAAAGAAAGCGUAAUAGCUCACUAGUCGAGUCGGCCUGCGCGGAAGAUGUAACGGGGCUAAGCAAUACACCGAAGCUGCGGCAAUGUCUUUUAGACAUUGGGUAGGGGAGCGUUCUGUAAGCCGUUGAAGGUGAAUCGUAAGGUUUGCUGGAGGUAUCAGAAGUGCGAAUGCUGACAUGAGUAACGACAAAGGGGGUGAAAAACCUCCUCGCCGGAAGACCAAGGGUUCCUGUCCAACGUUAAUCGGGGCAGGGUGAGUCGACCCCUAAGGUGAGGCCGAAAGGCGUAAUCGAUGGGAAACGGGUUAAUAUUCCCGUACUUCUGACUAUUGCGAUGGGGGGACGGAGAAGGCUAGGUG
RNAcentral lists this ribosomal RNA (1433 nucleotides) under Vibrio cholerae. RNAcentral describes it as "bacterial LSU rRNA". It matches the Rfam family "Bacterial large subunit ribosomal RNA", at positions 1 to 1488 of the family's 2925-position model. The record is from RNAcentral. Lineage: Bacteria; Pseudomonadati; Pseudomonadota; Gammaproteobacteria; Vibrionales; Vibrionaceae.